RNAcentral lists this long non-coding RNA (227 nucleotides) under Mytilus galloprovincialis (Mediterranean mussel). The record is from RNAcentral. Lineage: Eukaryota; Metazoa; Mollusca; Bivalvia; Mytilida; Mytilidae.
GGUUCUAUGCGAAGAAACAAACGUUUGAAUUAACAGAUAUACAGCCAUUUUAAUUUAUUAUUUUGCGAUGACACGAGAUUUCGGGUAUUCGUCCAUCAGACAGCAGCGAAACAAACAGUGAAAAACAUAAUUCCCAUCAGACAAACUUACUAGUGUAAAGUAAGCCGUCGAUGAUAGCCGGGGCUAAUAUUCAUGAAGGCAGCAACUUGUGUAUACUAGUAGAAAAA